CCGCGCUCCCGCCCCCGGGUUCCACUCCAAACACUGACAGAAAGAAUAGAACCCCCAGUUUCAUUAUUCACCCACUCUUCGAGCCGAGUGUCUCGUGUCCUUAGCGUGGUUUGGUUGUUUCGAUGGAAGUUCGGUGCAGCAGCCGCGGGAUGGGAGUGGGAGCUGCCCAGCAGAGCCAGAUGGGAAGCCCUCAGGAAGAGGCUGCAAACCUUUUAGAGGGUUUUUACCUAUUUAAAUAGGUAAAUCCCGCGAUAUCCAUGAAAGCCAUGACCCAUCUCCCAGAAGGGAGGAGCAGGGGCAGCAGUGCCGGGACAGGGGAUGAGUUCCCAGCCCUGCCCCGGCUCCACCAGGGGAAGCAAACCCCAAUUCCCACAUCCUGUGGGGCCGGGAUUAAUGGGAUUAUCUCUCAUCUAUCUCCUAAAGGGAAGCAGGACCUUAACACACACUCCCGGUAUGGCCAGAGGUCUUUAAGAAGGUCCAGCACUUUGAGGAAAAUUGCCUGCAGGCAUUCCUUGGCUUUUGUAAAUUCAGUGUUUAAGGCCAGGAGGGAGCCUGGCCAUUAUCUGGUCACACCUCCCUUGUAAAAGCCAUAAAAGACAAAAUAAACCGCCUUGAGCAUUUAAUUUGCAGAAGCUCCUGGUGGCUGAAAAGCCUUCAGUGGAUGGAGAGCUGCCACAUCCUUGGCUCAGCUGUUCCCACAACUGACGGGACAAAGUGUCCCAAGUGGCUGCUUUGCUCCAGGUUAAAGUGAUAGAGGUGAAAAACAGGGAUGGGAGGGGAAGGAAAAGGAGGAUUUCAGCCCAGACAACCCCACCAAGCUCCAAGUUCACACCUCCACACACCCCGUGUUUCCCUAAAGGCGCCCGAGCUCCCCAGAACCUCCCCGGUGUUCCCAGGGAAGCGAGGACGAUCCAUGGCUUCUGUUGUCCUUCAUUCCACCGGAGUCUGUCUCGUAGCAAACCAGAUUUCAGUGGAGUGAAGCUCAAGAGACAUGGAGGAGCUGCUGCCACUGCCCAGCUGGGAAAGCACACGGAAAUUGGGAUCCACCGGGCUCAGACCUGCUGGGAGAGGGAGAGGAGCAGCACAAGGAGAUCUUUAAUAACACGAAUAUUUCCUGAAAAUCCCCAGUAAGAACCCUCUGUGAGCAUGUACUUCCUUUCUGCAUAAUGUGUAAAGAUUAAAAGCCUACAAAGACCACAAGCUGCUUUCUGGAAGGUUUAAAUACCUUAUUAGCAGGAAAUUAAACCCUAAAGUGGAUAAAUGA
Molecule: long non-coding RNA, 1264 nt
Organism: Cyanistes caeruleus (blue tit)
Lineage: Eukaryota; Metazoa; Chordata; Aves; Passeriformes; Paridae
Source: RefSeq, a predicted model, not a curated record